RNAcentral lists this non-coding RNA (40 nucleotides) under Plasmodium falciparum 3D7. The record is from RNAcentral. Lineage: Eukaryota; Apicomplexa; Aconoidasida; Haemosporida; Plasmodiidae.
AUUUGAUGAAUAUAUAUAAUGAGUUUGUUUAAAAUGUGGU